This 301-nucleotide ribosomal RNA is filed under the name uncultured bacterium. Its description in RNAcentral is "partial 16S ribosomal RNA". It matches the Rfam family "Bacterial small subunit ribosomal RNA", at positions 509 to 808 of the family's 1533-position model. The record is from RNAcentral.
CAGCCGCCACGGUAAUACGAAGGGUGCAAGCGUUAAUCGGAAUUACUGGGCGUAAAGCGUGCGUAGGCGGUUUGUUAAGUCUGUUGUGAAAUCCCCGGGCUCAACCUGGGAAUGGCAAUGGAUACUGGCAAGCUAGAGUGUGUCAGAGGAUGGUGGAAUUCCCGGUGUAGCGGUGAAAUGCGUAGAGAUCGGGAGGAACAUCAGUGGCGAAGGCGGCCCCCUGGGCCAACACUGACGCUCAUGCACGAAAGCGUGGGGAGCAAACAGGAUUAGAUACCCCGGUAGUCCCUGUCUCUUAACA